Molecule: ribosomal RNA, 497 nt
Filed under: uncultured bacterium
Lineage: Bacteria
Description: partial 16S ribosomal RNA
Rfam family: Bacterial small subunit ribosomal RNA
Source: RNAcentral
GAUGAACGCUGGCGGCGUGCCUAAUACAUGCAAGUCGAGCGAACAGAUGAUGAGCUUGCUCCUCUGACGUUAGCGGCGGACGGGCGAGUAACACGUGGAUAACCUACUUAUAAUACUGGGAUAACUUCGGGAAACCGGAGCUAAUACCGGAUAAUAUAUUGAACCGCAUGGUUCAAUAGUGAAAGACGGUUUUGCUGUCACUUAUAGAUGGAUCCGCGUCGCAUUAGCUAGUUGGUAAGGUAACGGCUUACCAAGGCAACGAUGCGUAGCCGACCUGAGAGGGUGAUCGGCCACACUGGAACUGAGACACGGUCCAGACUCCUACGGGAGGCAGCAGUAGGGAAUCUUCCGCAAUGGGCGAAAGCCUGUCGGAGCAACGCCGCGUGAGUGAUGAAGGUCUUCGGAUCGUAAAACUCUGUUAUUAGGGAAGAAAAAAUGUGUAAGUAACUAUGCACGUCUUGACGGUACCUAAACAGAAAGCCACGGCUAACUUCGUG